UAGGGAAUCUUCGGCAAUGGACGAAAGUCUGACCGAGCAACGCCGCGUGAGUGAAGAAGGUUUUCGGAUCGUAAAACUCUGUUGUUAGAGAAGAACAAGGACGUUAGUAACUGAACGUCCCCUGACGGUAUCUAACCAGAAAGCCACGGCUAACUACUUGCCAGCAGCCGCGGUAAUACGUUGGUGUCAAGCGUUGUCCGGCUUUAUUUGGCGUAAAGCGAGCGCAGGCGGUUUCUUAAGUCUGAUGUGAAAGCCCCCGGCUCAACCGGGGAGGGUCAUUGGAAACUGGGAGACGUGAGUGCAGAAGAGGAGAGUGGAAGUCCAUGUGUAGCGGUGAAAUGCGUAGAUAUAUGGAGGAACACCAGUGGCGAAGGCGGCUCUCUGGUCUGUAACUGACGCUGAGGCUCGAAAGCGUGGGGAGCAAACAGG
RNAcentral lists this ribosomal RNA (429 nucleotides) under Gemmatimonadota bacterium. Its description in RNAcentral is "Gemmatimonadetes bacterium partial 16S ribosomal RNA". It matches the Rfam family "Bacterial small subunit ribosomal RNA", at positions 355 to 776 of the family's 1533-position model. Lineage: Bacteria; Pseudomonadati; Gemmatimonadota. The record is from RNAcentral.